AAUUUUACUGUGUAAAAUUUGAAAAUUUAGGGGAUUGAUGCUGACCUAGACAGUUUCAGCAUGGUUCUAAUUUGAAAUAGUUAUAGUUCACAACGGUUUUGAUUUGACUGUACCUAUUAUCAAAUAAUAAUAAAAUUUUAGAUAUCGUUUAUAAUUCAAAAAUUUUUUAAAAAAUACAAACUCAAUGUAUAAAUUUUAGAAAAAGAAAUAAAAGAAAACAAGUUUUAAAUCGAUUGGUUCUGGUUCUAACCUGUUGGUUUUGGGCCCAGUUCAAGUAGGGAGGGCGCUUUACCGACCCACUAACCUCGAUUUAAAAUCGAUUCAAGGUCCUAAACCAUUGGCUAGAGCCGAAUCCAAGUUUGACCAAGGUCGGUCUCAAUUCAAUUCAAUGAU
Molecule: unclassified non-coding RNA, 393 nt
Filed under: Hevea brasiliensis (rubber tree)
Lineage: Eukaryota; Viridiplantae; Streptophyta; Magnoliopsida; Malpighiales; Euphorbiaceae
Source: RNAcentral